GGGCGUGAGUCCUUCGUAGGCGUGCCUGCGGAGGAUCAUUA
Molecule: ribosomal RNA, 41 nt
Filed under: uncultured ectomycorrhiza (Lactarius pseudomucidus)
Lineage: Eukaryota; Fungi; Basidiomycota; Agaricomycetes; Russulales; Russulaceae
Description: partial 18S ribosomal RNA
Source: RNAcentral